Cucumis sativus (cucumber) is the source of this 582-nucleotide long non-coding RNA. RefSeq lists it as uncharacterized. The record is from RefSeq and is a predicted model, not a curated record. The transcript is spliced from 4 exons. Lineage: Eukaryota; Viridiplantae; Streptophyta; Magnoliopsida; Cucurbitales; Cucurbitaceae.
ACUGCUGCUGUAACCUUGGCGCCGCGUGACCUCUGCCCAGCGCCGUGUGACCCUCUGCCCAGUCCCGCCGCACAACAUCUGUCUCCGUCGAAGCCAAGCCAGUCGCCGUCCAUUCCUCUCCUUUCUCCUCUGUUUUCAGCCAGCCGCCGCCGAUUCCUUCUCCUCCGUUGUCUGCAAUGCCGCGCGACUCUCCGUCCGUCUGUAUACGGUCUCUCCGUCGCACGUCGUCUCUUCGCAAAGCUACUGCUCGACUUCUUCCGCGAAUAACAUCUGCCAUGAACCGAACUAAAGACCCCAGAUCCAACUUUCUACGCGUCGAGUUCCUUCUUCGUCCUGCCGCAGGAUUGGGUCGUUAGCUGUCGUUCCUGCUUUGCCACGAGUCAUUAAAUUCUGAUUGGUUGAAGGUAACGUUCGAAUUCCUUGGGUUCGCAGCAAACAAUUGAUUCUAGUUAGAACUAGUUUCGCGAAGAUUUGGGUUCGUUCUUCGUAGACUUCAACGUGGUUAAGGAGCUUAACUAACUUGAAAGUAAAGGUAAUAAAGGUGGCAAACCGGCGAGGGGCAGGAAGGAAGCGUGAUUGCCA